GACGAACGCUGGCGGCGUGCUUAACACAUGCAAGUCGAACGGAAAGGCCCUGCUUUUGUGGGGUGCUCGAGUGGCGAACGGGUGAGUAACACGUGAGUAACCUGCCCUUGACUUUGGGAUGACUUCAGGAAACUGGGGCUAAUACCGGAUAGGAGUUCCUGCUGCAUGGUGGGGGUUGGAAAGUUUCGGCGGUUGGGGAUGGACUCGCGGCUUAUCAGCUUGUUGGUGGGGUAGUGGCUUACCAAGGCUUUGACGGGUAGCCGGCCUGAGAGGGUGACCGGCCACAUUGGGACUGAGAUACGGCCCAGACUCCUACGGGAGGCAGCAGUGGGGAAUAUUGCACAAUGGGCGGAAGCCUGAUGCAGCAACGCCGCGUGCGGGAUGACGGCCUUCGGGUUGUAAACCGCUUUCGCCUGUGACGAAGCGUGAGUGACGGUAAUGGGUAAAGAAGCACCGGCUAACUACGUG
Molecule: ribosomal RNA, 468 nt
Filed under: uncultured bacterium
Lineage: Bacteria
Description: partial 16S ribosomal RNA
Rfam family: Bacterial small subunit ribosomal RNA
Source: RNAcentral